RNAcentral lists this long non-coding RNA (919 nucleotides) under Selaginella moellendorffii. RNAcentral's name for it is "long non-coding RNA (SMOE_LNC001251)". Lineage: Eukaryota; Viridiplantae; Streptophyta; Lycopodiopsida; Selaginellales; Selaginellaceae. The record is from RNAcentral.
AACCAGAGUCCCUGGAGAGUGAUGGAGAUGCCGCUGGCUAAGUCGACGAUGAAGCUCUGAGGGAAGGCUGCCCCGAGGCACGAGAAGAGUAUGCAGAGGCCGAUGAGGUAGACGAGGAGCUCAUGGUAUCGUCCUUCCAGGCCGGCGUGCGUGGUGGAGUGGAAGUAGAAGAGCAGGAACUCGGCGGUGAAGGCCAUGCCGGCGAUGAUGUUGAGAGCUCCCAGUGGAAGAUGGAGCACCCUGCGCAAGCAAAAGGCUUUCGAGGUAAGUGAACUCGUCUUUCUCGAUACAGCUUUUUCUCUUUUUGACUAGCUGCUGAUUGGAUGAAUCGUGUCGAGCAGGGAAAAAAGAGGGAGAUACGUACCCGGCAGCUUCGGUGAAGAGCGCGACGGCGCCGAGCACGAAGAACAUGAGGAGCAUUGCCGAGUGCUCGAAAUUGUUGAGGUGCUUGGCGUUGAGGGCUCCAUCGACGAAGUACUGGAAGUGGGGGGAGUAGAAGAACUCGAUGCAGAGGUCGAGGAGGGCGCCGAGGGUGAUGAUGUAGAGCUCGAGGAAGCGGAGGGAGCCUGUGACCCUGGGGAGGGCGUGCCAGACGCGGCCCUGGAAGCCCUUUGGGUUGGAAACGUACUUGAGGAGGGAAUUGAGGGUGUGCCAGAUGCCCACGACCAGGAAGAGCGUGCCUGGGACUGCAUGGCCUCGGAAAGAUCCCAUGGAUUCCAAUUGGGCGGGUGGCACAGCAGGCAAGGAUUGUGAUUUGCGCGGACCAAAUGAUGGACCCAAUCAAUCCUGAUCCGCGUUGCGCGCCGCCGCCAUCAUCACUUCCACACCGGCCGCCUUUUUCUUUUUUUUUUCUUGUUCUUGUUGCUGACAGAAUAUACUAUCUUAGAAUAUUCUUUUGUAUAUUAAAAGCAUUUUAGGG